This 301-nucleotide ribosomal RNA is filed under the name uncultured bacterium. Its description in RNAcentral is "partial 16S ribosomal RNA". It matches the Rfam family "Bacterial small subunit ribosomal RNA", at positions 509 to 807 of the family's 1533-position model. The record is from RNAcentral.
CAGUCGCCACGGUAAUACGCAGGGGGCUAGCGUUGCUCGGAAUUACUGGGCGUAAAGGGAGCGUAGGCGGGUCGUUUAGUCAGAGGUGAAAUCCCGGGGCUCAACCUCGGAGCUGCCUUUGAUACUGGCGACCUUGAGUAUGGGAGAGGUAAGCGGAACUCCGAGUGUAGAGGUGAAAUUCGUAGAUAUUCGGAAGAACACCAGUGGCGAAGGCGGCUUACUGGCCCAUUACUGACGCUGAGGCUCGAAAGCGUGGGGAGCAAACAGGAUUAGAUACCCCCGUAGUCCCUGUCUCUUAUAC